RNAcentral lists this unclassified non-coding RNA (240 nucleotides) under soil metagenome. Its description in RNAcentral is "partial contains 5.8S ribosomal RNA, internal transcribed spacer 2, and large subunit ribosomal RNA". The record is from RNAcentral.
AACGGUCUAUACCUGCGGUACCUGCGGAGGGAUCAUUAACACAAAUGAUACAACCUUUUUGGUUUUUUUGGAAUGGGAUUUAAUCUCGUUCCAAAAACCAAAAUUACCACAAUGGAAAAUGUUAAAGUCCAUCAACAUUAUUAUUAAUGUUGGUGGCCUUUAAACCCCAUUACCAACACAAUAUAAAAAAAAACCCCAUUUAAAAACCAUUAGAUCCUGUUAUGAUUAUAUCCUAAAAAC